This is a long non-coding RNA of Mastomys coucha (southern multimammate mouse), 1450 nucleotides long. RefSeq lists it as uncharacterized. Lineage: Eukaryota; Metazoa; Chordata; Mammalia; Rodentia; Muridae. The record is from RefSeq and is a predicted model, not a curated record. The transcript has 2 exons.
CUAAUAAUCUCCACAGGGUACAAAGACCUUACACCUAUUAUUCUUUGUCCUGUCUCCAGUACCUAACACACUGUCCACAACAGGUACUCAAUAAAUACUUUGGAUUGGCUGAAUGUAUAAAGAAAUGAACAUAAAGACUUGUGCUCUUAACCAGGUCUUCAUUUGGCUAGAUAAUCUAUGUGGCUUCAUGCAGAUCCCAAGCCAGUGUUUCCAUGGGGACCAUCAGGUACGGCAGGAAAGGUGCAAGCGCAAGAGCAUUUCACAGUCAACAUCUCUAUGCCGUCUUAAUCCAGGUAUCUGGAAACUGCAGUGAAGCCUAUGUAAAAACAAGUUCCCAUUUGAACUGAUUCACAGUAAUCAUGAGAUAGAUGCUAAUGUUGGAAUAUAUUUUUUUCCCUAAAACGACCAAGAGACAAGUGCAUGGUUUAAGUGUAGAAUGAACCAAAAAGGGCAGCAUAUUUAUUUGGACACUUGCUACAUACAAGGUCAAGACUAUAUGUUUGCCUGAGAAACCAUCUGUGGCAGAAACUGAUGAGAGUUUGGAAUUCAGCUUUUGCCUACCCUUCCUAACCUCUCUGGAAGUUGGGCAGGAUCACUGACCACUGUUGGUGAUUAGAUGCUACUGGGUACCAACUUCCUUGCCUUGUCAUUAUACAGAUCCCUAUGGGACUGUUCUCUAAAGGCUUCCUGCCCUACUGGCUGAAUGGAAGUAACCUUGGGGAAGAUGGAGCCACAGGUUGGAAGGAGCCUGUGUCCUUGCAUUACUAGGUAGCCCCUCUUCUAAGUCAUACCGGAUUAUGAGAAGAACGGUGAUACAUUUGUACUGGGUCAACUCACUGAAAUUUGAAGAUCAAUUGCUGUAAUUUGCCUAUCCUGGCCAAUUGACCUUAUUUCCCAACUUUCCUCUGGGCCAUGGUAGGAAGAGAGAGGAGUAAGUCUCUGGAGUCUCAGAUGAUCCCGAUAAACAAAGGAAUCUAGCGGCUGGGGAGUUGCCUCACUGGCUGUGAGCACUUGUUGCUCUUACACAAGACCUGAGUAUUCUCAGCACCUACACAGUGGUUUACAAUCAGAUAUAACUCCCAUUCCAGGGCAUCUGGCACCCUCUGGCCUCCAUGGGCACCAGAUAUGCACACAGUGCGCUUACAUACAGACAAGCAAAACACUCAUACACAUGAAAUAAGUCUUUUUUAUUUUCUAAAAGAAGGUAUUUGGUACCAACCUCAACAUAGUAUCUUGCAAAUUCUGGAAUAAAAUCUAGAAGCCUUAGACAUUCCCAUGGAACCACAGACACUACCUGUGCUCCUCUACCCAACCCAGAAGUGCCCCUCUGGACAUGUUUAUUCCCUGGAGAACAGUAAGUAACCAUCUCCAAACAGCGGCCAUGGGAAUCCCCAACUCCGCCAAUUGAUUUCAUAUAUUUAGAGUCCAAAUAAAGCCGUAUUUAAUCCUA